Molecule: long non-coding RNA, 498 nt
Filed under: Mytilus galloprovincialis (Mediterranean mussel)
Lineage: Eukaryota; Metazoa; Mollusca; Bivalvia; Mytilida; Mytilidae
Source: RNAcentral
CUCAUUGUUUAUUCGUUGGUCCCUGGUGGAUAGUUGUUCAUUGUUUAUUCAUUGGUCCCUGGUUGAUAGUUAUGUUCAUUGUUUAUUCGUUGGUCCCUGGUGGAUAGUUGUCUCAUUGUUUAUUCGUUGGUCCCUGGUGGAUAGUUGAGUUCAUUGUUUAUUCGUUGGUCCCUGGUGGAUAGUUGUCUCAUUGUUUAUUCGUUGGUCCCCGGUUGAUAGUUGUCUCAUUGUUUAUUCAUUGGUCUCUGGUUGAUAGUUAUGUUCAUUGUUUAUUCGUUUGUCCCUGGUGGAUAGUUGUCUCAUUGUUUAUUCGUUUGUCCUUGGUGGAUAGUUGUCUCAUUGUUCAUUCGUUGGUCCCAGGUGGAUAGUUGUCUCAUUGUUUAUCCGUUGGUCCCUGGUGGAUAGUUGAGUUCAUUGUUUAUUCGUUGGUCCCUGGUUGAUAGUUGUCUCAUUGUUUAUUCGUUGGUCCCUGGUGGAUAGUUUUUCAUUGUUUAUCCG